CCCAUAUUUUGGUGAAACUAUUGAUACCAAAACUCCGGGUUUGGCUCCAUAAUAUAGAUAGAUAGAUAGAUAGAUAGACAGAGUAAGUAGAUAAAUAGAUAUGAUAAGUUUUUUAGUUGUCAGUUUCCCAAUCUGUCCUUUACAUACAAAUUGGAUUAGAGAGUAGCUAAAUCUCAUAUUAUUGUCCCAUAAAACAAUAGCGACAUCAUAUGUAAUCUCCUGAAUAUAUUUUGAUAUUCUUAAAAAGAAAAAGAAAAAGAAAAAGAAAGAAACUCCGAAUCACUUACCAAAUGGUUUUUAGUAGCCGAACCCGCGAAAAUGGACGAGCCCAACAGCCAAGGCGCGAAAUAAAACGUCUCAGACGCAGAGAAGCACACCUUCACCACUAUUGAAUCACGGCCACUGAAAACCCCUUCACCAAUACUGAAUGACGGCCACUAUUGAAGCACGACCAGCGUGGUCUUAAAUGAGGAAGGUCACUAAUGAGGAACAAAGUAUAUAACAAGGGUGGGGAUAGCUCUAUUCCAGCUAUUUGUGAAGAGCAGGACUUUGAAACUUUACUAGCUGCUAGACCAAGUAUCCUCGUCUUAUAGCUGUCAUGUGCCUUCCCAGCUGCACUUUCUAGAGACACAUGCUUUCAAUCUGGUUGUUUCUCUGACAAUGGAACCUCAGGCUCAUCUAGCCUGAAACCUCGAGAGUUCCUAUGGUGGUUCUUGAAGGAAACCGUGAAAUUCAGUGCCAAGUUAUUGGAAUCACUUUAACAUCCUAUUUGACAAGGUUCAUACGUAGUUCCAUCAGAGGAAUCUUUCUUUAAAAGUAACUUCUACUCUUCAGUGUUUUCUCAAUGUUCAUUCAUGGUCCCCAGUAUGCUUGGCUUAAAAGGUGAUCUUUAUUGAGUAGACCGCACAGUGAGUUCAGGAUGAAUGCAGGAGACCGGAAAUGCAUCUGCACUUUUUAGAGAGACAUGCUUUCAAUCUGGUUGUUUCUUUGAAAAUGGAAGCUCAGGCUCAUGUAACCUGAAACCUCGAGAGUUCCUAUGGUGGUUAUUGAAGGAAACCAUCAAAUUCAUAGCCAAGUUACUGGAAUCACUUUGACAUCCUAUUUGACAAGUCCGUAGUUCCAUCAGAGGAAUCUGUCUUUAAAAUUAACUUCUACUACUCUUCUGAUGCUGGACGACUGCAUUUCUUCAGGUUGGGAGCAUUUGUUGACUACAAUGCUACCUGUUAUUGAAGCUAUACUUAAUAUUCACAAAUCACUAAAAACAACAGAUAUUUAGGAUUAAGUAUUGUGAUCAGGUGCUGAAUGCUGAAUGCUUCCCUCUCAGCACUAUUUUUAUCAAUAUGGAUGUGAUGUUUUUCUUGGUCAUGUAAGUUCUGUUGAUUCAUUCUGUAGUCAUUUCUUAUUGAUAUGGUACUUAGGUUAGGAUUUUCGUUUUGAUGCCAGGCUUUGAUAUAUCCUUUCUUCUACUAAAUACUCUUUUGAACUUAAAAUUUUAUCUUCCAUUUCCACGGUAAGGUUACUCUGAGCUCUUCCCUAAAAUUUGGAGAGAGAGAAAAGAGAAAAAAACACUGAAAAACUUGUGCAUUGCAAUGUCACAGACUCACAAUAUGCUUUUCCUGUAUAUAGACUAAACAUCAAUCGAGAUGUGAGUUUCAGGAGAAUGAUAAAGAGAGAAAAGAUCAUGUAUUUUCUUCAAUCUCAGUUCUGCUAAUCUUCUCUGUUCUGAAAUCAAUGAACGCACAAGUUAUAUGAAACUAACUUUUUGUGAAUUGAAGUAACUUAAAUUGUGAUAUAUGAAUGUAUGAUUUAAUCCAUUUUAUCUGUUAAGCAUAAACUCUCUCACACUUGGAAAUUCUUUCAUUUCAGGGCAUUAAAUCAUAAAAUAGAUUUGCAUAAGGAUAUGUGGUGCAGGUGAUUAGAUCUUGAUAUUGUUUGGCUGCUCUCCAUAGCCAAUCUUUUAUUUACUGGUUUGUACUUGAUAUUUUAGUAUGAGUUCCUUCUGGUCAAUAUUGCCAGCACAGCUGUUAUUUUAUUCAGCCAGUUGACAUCAUUAUAGAGGAUUACAUUCUAUUAUCAUCACAAAAGAGAUUAGGAUUUGAUGAUCAGUCAUUCGUGUACUAAAGAAAGAAUAACACAUUGCCCCUUUUAUUGUGUUGAUAUAAAUUCUACCACUCCACACAUGCAUCUGUAAUUGCCAAUAUAUAUAUAGUUAUUAGAAGAAAUAAUUAAUCAGAUAAGUAUUAUUCUUUUGUCAUUACGAUAAUCUUAAUUGAAUUAAACAGAAUGAAACUGCUUCAUGUUUUCUUAUAUGAUUCAGUUGUGACAUUGUUAUGAGAUUUGCUUUUAAGGGCAUGAUAUAUGUGGAAAUAAGAAGGCAGAAGUUCAAGUUUUGUCCCUUAUUUAAAUUAAAUUUGGAGUUCUCAUGCAGAAUAAGAUAUAUAGAAAGUCACUCCUCUCUGAAUUUUGAGAGCCAAGUCUUUUGAACUUUUCUUCACGGCCGGCCAAAGGUAACAGACAGUCAGUGUGGACUGGAGUUAGAGAAAGUAGCUUUAGGGAUGGAAUACUUGACGUACAAUUAAUCUCAGUUUGAAAUUUUGUUGACAAGUGUCUACAAGGCUUAAUAAUUAGUUUGUCCUGAUUUCUAUAGAUAGGUUGUGUAUCUGUGAAGCUUGCUACUUGGUGAAGAUUAUGAAAAUAGAAAUGUAGUUGCACUAAGUUAGCGUGAACUUUUUCUGAUAUCUGUUUCUUUUUGUGAUACUCUUACAUCUCUCUUAAGUAUCACUUUUUUUUUUUUGAGAAUGCUCUUAAUUAUCACUUUAAUAUCUAAAUUAGUUGUGAAUUCUACAUAUGCUCUGUAAACAUGGCAGAGGAAUCAAAAUAUAAGGCACUAAGGCAUGGCGAUCAAGUUUACAUUUUUCGGCAACCCUGAAAGCCCUGAUCAGAAUUCUUAAGAUGACAGGUCCAAAAACUUCACUACUUUAUUUCUAUCUACGCAGUUGCUUCCCCUUCAAUUUUUAAUUUUUUACCCGUUGGAAACUGUAAAACGCCUAGUAGUUAAAAUAACUUGUGCAUAAUUGGACUCUCUAUAUUGGUUUCCAAAGUCGAAGUCCUUCUGCAUAAGAUUAGUCAAAUUUUUUAACUAUGAAGAUGUUGUUUUUUUUUUUUGCCAAAAUGAAUAGAUUGCUUUAAUUGUUCUCGGUGAAACUCUUUUCUUAAGCAUUAAAAUAUCCAAAAUUCUCACCGUACAUUACACUGGAACCAUAAACUACAACAGGACUAUUUUAAGAACUGAAUGAGUGUCAAAACUCCAUACAUGAAAUUCUAUUAACUUGCUAUAACUGUGCAACAAAUGAACUGUGUGGGACAAUCAUAUGUGUUGGCUGAUCCGUUGUUGAUAUACUUGCUUGUGUUGGGAGUUCUUUAUCUUCUAGGCUCUCUUUCUCCUUGCCCACUUUGUCCAAGUAGACUCUUUUGCUGUGAGAGCUCUGCAACUAUUCUUUUUAUCUUACAAAUGCAAAACCCUAACAAAGUGCUUUUCCUUCAAGUUAUAUGUAAUGCAAGAUAUAUAUAUAUAUAUUUUUUGAGAAUGAUGUAAUCCAAGGUUUAAUUAUGUAAAUUAUUGUAUCCAUUAUGUUCUUAUCAAAAUCUAGAAACCAUUUGUUGGAGAGACUUUGAAAAAAAGUCAGUUUACGAUCAGAGAAAGAUGAAAGCAGAGAGGAUUGAAAAUUGUUGUUAUGAGUCUCAGAGGCAAUGGCAAGGAAAAUAUAUUUUCUCAAAAAAAAAAAAAAAAAAAAAAAGCCGGAGACCAUCAACGGUCCACCAACCCGAUUAAACCCUCCACAUCUUUUCCAGUCAUCAUCUCCGGCAGCUGCCAAUCUCUUCAGAAACAGGCUCGAAGAGCUGCCACUCAUGUUGUUUGAAAUUACAAAGGCUACAACUUUACUUGUGUCUUUUGCCUCAAAUGUGUGUUCCCAAUUCGACUGGCAACUACUUGAUAUCUUUCCAGGACCACCAUCACCUUCAACAUUCACAGAGUAAUCCUUGGAAGUAUUAAAUGAUCGCAGCAAGUGCGUAGUCUCUUCUGGAAAGUAAUGAUCUGCAGAACCCCAUGGAUGCUUUGUCAUAAUCAUUCUUUCCAGCUCCAUGGCUACUUCUCUCAUGGUAGGCCUUUCCUCCCCUUUUACCCUCAAACAUCUUCUUGCAAGAUUGGCCGCAUUUUCUAUUACUCUCUGGUCAAUAACUCCUUCAUUAACAAUGUCAUCAUAUAGAAUUUGGUUCAAGUAACCAUCAUAUAGAAUUUGGUUCAAGUAUUCCUGAAGGUAGCUUAUUCAUUCUUUUCUUUCUUAUAAAUUGCUUAUAGUGUGAAUGUUGUUAGCACUUGCUAAUGAAGCAAUAAAGAUCAUAAAUGAAAGAUUGAGUGAAUUGUAGAGUUCAGAUUUAUGCACAAAACUCAAGUUCAUUUUCUGCUGAACAGUGAAACGGUGUUGUUUUCUAUGGCAAUUUUGUAUAUUGCAAGACAGUUGAAAGUUAUUUAUUGUUUCUUCACAGU
Molecule: long non-coding RNA, 4549 nt
Organism: Rosa rugosa (rugosa rose)
Lineage: Eukaryota; Viridiplantae; Streptophyta; Magnoliopsida; Rosales; Rosaceae
Exons: 6
Source: RefSeq, a predicted model, not a curated record